CAGAGAUCAUGCCCCUCGUUGGGUAGACCUCCCACCCUGUGUUAUUUACGAUUGUUGCUUUGGCAGGCCGCCAGCAUGCUGGCGCUCGGCUUCGGCUGAGGUGCGCCUGCCAGAGGACCCCCAACUCUGUGUUUAGUGUUGUCUGAGUACUAAGUUAAUACGUUA
RNAcentral lists this unclassified non-coding RNA (165 nucleotides) under uncultured Helotiales. Its description in RNAcentral is "sequence contains ITS1". The record is from RNAcentral. Lineage: Eukaryota; Fungi; Ascomycota; Leotiomycetes; Helotiales.